UACGGAGGGUGCGAGCGUUGUUCGGAAUUACUGGGCGUAAAGCGCGUGUAGGCGGCCUUCUAAGUCUGGUGUGAAAGCCCGGGGCUCACCCCCGGAAGUGCAUUGGAUACUGGGAGGCUGGAGUACCGGAGAGGAGGGUGGAAUUCCUGGUGUAGCGGUGAAAUGCGUAGAUAUCAGGAGGAACACCGGUGGCGAAGGCGGCCAACUGGACGGUGACUGACACUGAGACGCGAAAGCGUGGGGAGCAAACAGG
RNAcentral lists this ribosomal RNA (253 nucleotides) under uncultured bacterium. RNAcentral's name for it is "partial 16S ribosomal RNA". It matches the Rfam family "Bacterial small subunit ribosomal RNA", at positions 524 to 776 of the family's 1533-position model. The record is from RNAcentral.